AUGAGAGCAAGGGGAGAGACUGCAGCAUACGCAUGCAGCGCCGAAGGAGCAAACUGAUGUGAAUCUCUCAGGCAAAAGAACUCUUGCUUGACG
RNAcentral lists this non-coding RNA (93 nucleotides) under Metabacillus indicus. Its description in RNAcentral is "Bacillus cibi Glycine sequence". It matches the Rfam family "Glycine riboswitch aptamer". Rfam says of the family: This family represents the bacterial glycine riboswitch. Glycine riboswitches usually consist of two metabolite-binding aptamers domains with similar structures in tandem. Lineage: Bacteria; Bacillati; Bacillota; Bacilli; Caryophanales; Bacillaceae. The record is from Rfam by way of RNAcentral.